Molecule: non-coding RNA, 2631 nt
Organism: Taeniopygia guttata (zebra finch)
Lineage: Eukaryota; Metazoa; Chordata; Aves; Passeriformes; Estrildidae
Source: RefSeq, a predicted model, not a curated record
AGGCACAGCCCUUCCCCAGCCAUGGUGAGAGGGCAGGGGAAAAGCCACAGUGAAACGAGGAGCUUGCUGCACAGAAAAUGGACAUUUUGACAGGCUCCCAUUUCAUAUUAGAAAUGUUUUGAUUUCGUUUCCUCUGCAGAACAUAAACAGAUUUUGAAACCUCAGAAGUUGCCAUGAGACAAAACCCGCUAUUUCCUGGCCAGCUCUAAUUGCGGCUUGUGACCAGCCCUUGCUAUUGAAGUCAGAAGUUACACGAGGGAGGAUCCUGGCUCAGCACAGAUUUGUGUGGAGAAAUGUGAUUUGUCACUAUCUCUUUAAGCAAAGUUAACUCUUCAGUGAAAGAUUUUUUUGUGUCUGAUUCUCUUUACCAGCAAAUACCCGCAGGAAGUGUCCUACAGGCAGCGUGACAAUAGGAAGGGGUGAUGUGGACAUGGCAUGUGAUGUGAGUAUGGCAGUGCCAUGCUUUUAUGCCCUGGAGUGCUGGGAUCUGAGUGCAGCCAUGGGGCAAUAUCCCUCGUGUCCCAGCACGGCCACCCCAAGGACUGAGCUGAGCCUGAAGCAACAUCAUCACCUUCCUCAUGUGGGAAGAGUUCUUCCUUCUCCUUGUCCUCUAAAUCCGCAGGCUGAGACUUUUUGAGUUGUCUUGGAGAUUUUAAUACCAGCAGAAGAGGAAAAAAAAUGAAAAAAAAUGAAAGAAAAAAAAAAAGAAGAAAUAAGCCACCCAAUUCCUGCACACAGCUUUGAAAAUACCAGCUUUGUAUUUUUGGGCAGCUUAUGAGCUCAGGAGUGCUGACAGAAGUGGCCAGAAUUAGGGAAGAGCAAGAAAAAUGAUGAAGUGCUUGGGCAGAGGGACUUGGCCAUGGUGGGAAGAGGCACUGAGGGUUGCAUGACUGCAUUAGAAGAGGAAAAUAUCCCAAGGGCAAGAGGGGUGCUGGACAGAGGUGGUUGGUGUUGAGGAAAAUAGAAGCCAACAGUGGCAGCACACGAGGAAACCUUUCCUCAGUCUGAACUCCAACCCAUUGUGAAACCUUCCCAGUGGGGAAAUGCUGGAAACCCCCGAGGUCAUGUCAACAACAGCGGGGCUGGCUGGAGCCGCAGGAGGCCCGGGAGGAAAUAGAGCUCUGGGGAGAGCUGGUGUACCUGGGCUCUUCUGAUUUAUCUGAUCCCAUCAAAGCAACCCCUCUGCAGGGCUCAGUGCAGGCAGGGACCUGACUGGCAGCCAGGUUUGGCAGAGCAGAGGCAGGAAAAGCCAAUUUUGCAACUUUCUGGUUGAGUUACCACAGGAGAGCACAGACCCAGUGCCUGCACAGGCACUAAAUGCACAGGCCAGUGCUUUUCUUUUGGAUCAGAGCUUCAUCUAAGAGAAAAUCCUAAUUUCACUGUCUGGUACCAAACAAGUUGAUAGCACUGCCAAGGAUUUAUAAAUAUAGGACUUCUUUCAAAAUAAUUAGUGCUGCUCUUGACCCGAAUUCAGGCUGUUAGGUUUUUCAUCCCCUCUCAUGACAAUUUCAUUUUAUCAUCCCCACCACUACACACAUUUUUCUGCGAUGACUAAUUUGGAAGAUGGUAAGCUCACUGCUAAAAAACAGCAUCAGAAAUGUGUGUUUAUCAGGAGCAAUGGGUGCCAAAGGCACAAAUCUUACAGCUGUGUGAGGGGAAGCGACAACAGUCAUAUGAAUACAGAAUUAUUUGCAUCCCAUCUUUGUCCUAGUGCCUCUGUAAAAGAAAAACAAUCCCUUUUUUUCCCUAAUGUCUAAGGAAUAACAUCAUAAACCAAAAAAUCCCUCCAAGUUACUGUUAAAUUUCCUUUGUGGUGUCUGUAGCAAUCCCUUAAAGGGUUAGCUCCGAGCACUUCUUAAUUUUGCAAGGACAACACAGGAAACAACUGCAACUGUGUUGGCAGACAAACUGGGAUAGUUUCAGCCUGGGAUUGAAGCAGGAGGGAGCAGAUUUCUCCUCCAAUGCUCAAACUCCUAAAACUGGGCAUGUGAGUCCUGGAAGCAGAAGGAUGGUGUGAUCAUGAUGCAUGGACACAGAGGAAUGUCAUGAAGCCAGACAGCACUGGACUGGCUCCAAAUGCUGCUCUCAGUUCCUUCCCCAAGUUAGCAGGCGAGUGGCCACAUCUCCAGCAGGAGGUCAGACUGACCUUGGAAAAUGCAGGCAAUGCAGCUCACCCGCUUUGUAAGCUGAGUCCAGCACCAGGAGCUGUAAGAUGAGGCGGCCCAGGCCAGAAACCUCAAUCCAUGACCUGACCUGGUCAGCCUGAGAGGACUAAACCUACACUUUAUCAUGAAACAGCAGAUCCUGUGUCCUUUUGUGGUCACCCCAGCCAAGGUCAAGCUGGCACAAGGGGUUUAAUUCUGAGACUGAGUGAAGAAUUUCUCUUUGUUGAGCUGACUGAGAGGCUGAAGAUGCUGGAAGGAGGAGAGCCAGGGCUGACACAGAGCAAGAAAACACUAAUGUUUUAAUUAAAACAAAUGGCUUUUAGUGUUUCUCAUUUAUUUUGCCCAGUUACUCAAAACACCUUCUUUUGAGGAUUUUUUUUUUUUGUGAUUUUUGCUUUACAGCAAUUACCUCUGAUUGCUUCAAACUGUUAGCAUUCAGAAAUAAAGCACGAUUAUCUCUUUCCAA